Molecule: small nuclear RNA, 104 nt
Filed under: Jaculus jaculus (lesser Egyptian jerboa)
Lineage: Eukaryota; Metazoa; Chordata; Mammalia; Rodentia; Dipodidae
Source: RNAcentral
UUGCUUCGGCAGCACAUAUACUUGAAAUUGGAAUGAUACAGAGAAGAUUAGCAUGGCCCCCACACAAGGAUGACACACAAAUUUGUGGAGCGUUCCAUAUUGUA